UUUGUUAUUUAUUGAUGAGCA
This 21-nucleotide non-coding RNA is filed under the name Caenorhabditis elegans. The record is from RNAcentral. Lineage: Eukaryota; Metazoa; Nematoda; Chromadorea; Rhabditida; Rhabditidae.